RNAcentral lists this transfer RNA (72 nucleotides) under Camelus bactrianus (Bactrian camel). It matches the Rfam family "tRNA". Rfam says of the family: Transfer RNA (tRNA) molecules are approximately 80 nucleotides in length. Their secondary structure includes four short double-helical elements and three loops (D, anti-codon, and T loops). Lineage: Eukaryota; Metazoa; Chordata; Mammalia; Artiodactyla; Camelidae. RNAcentral also lists the same sequence under 1 other name. The record is from Rfam by way of RNAcentral.
GAGGGUGUAGCUCAAGUGGUUGAGCGCAUGCUUAGCACGCAUGAGGUCCUGGGUUCAAUGCCCAGUCCCUCC